This 468-nucleotide ribosomal RNA is filed under the name uncultured bacterium. RNAcentral describes it as "partial 16S ribosomal RNA". It matches the Rfam family "Bacterial small subunit ribosomal RNA", at positions 28 to 507 of the family's 1533-position model. The record is from RNAcentral.
GACGAGCGCUGGCGGCGUGCUUAACACAUGCAAGUCGAACGGAAAGGCCCUGCUUUUGUGGGGUGCUCGAGUGGCGAACGGGUGAGUAACACGUGAGUAACCUGCCCUUGACUUUGGGAUAACUUCAGGAAACUGGGGCUAAUACCGGAUAGGAGCUCCUGCUGCAUGGUGGGGGUUGGAAAGUUUCGGCGGUUGGGGAUGGACUCGCGGCUUAUCAGCUUGUUGGUGGGGUAGUGGCUUACCAAGGCUUUGACGGGUAGCCGGCCCGAGAGGGUGACCGGCCACAUUGGGACUGAGAUACGGCCCAGACUCCUACGGGAGGCAGCAGUGGGGAAUAUUGCACAAUGGGCGGAAGCCUGAUGCAGCAACGCCGCGUGCGGGAUGACGGCCUUCGGGUUGUAAACCGCUUUCGCCUGUGACGAAGCGUGAGUGACGGUAAUGGGUAAAGAAGCACCGGCUAACUACGUG